RNAcentral lists this ribosomal RNA (304 nucleotides) under uncultured bacterium. RNAcentral's name for it is "bacterial SSU rRNA". It matches the Rfam family "Bacterial small subunit ribosomal RNA", at positions 29 to 325 of the family's 1533-position model. The record is from RNAcentral.
AAUGAACGCUGGCGGCGCGCCUAAUACAUGCAAGUCGAGCGAGAAGACGUAGCAAUACGUUUGUAAAGCGGCGAACGGGUGAGGAAUACAUGGGUAACCUACCCUCGAGUGGGGAAUAACUAGCCGAAAGGUUAGCUAAUACCGCGUACGCUCCUUGGACUUCGGCUCAGGGAGGAAAGCGAUACCGUGGGUAUCGCGCUCUUGGUUGGGCUCAUGUCCUAUCAGCUUGUUGGGAGGUACGGCUCACCAAGGCUUCGACGGGUAGCUGGUCUGAGAGGACGAUCAGCCACACUGGCACUGCGAC